Molecule: ribosomal RNA, 2858 nt
Filed under: Acinetobacter baumannii
Lineage: Bacteria; Pseudomonadati; Pseudomonadota; Gammaproteobacteria; Moraxellales; Moraxellaceae
Description: 23S ribosomal RNA
Rfam family: Bacterial large subunit ribosomal RNA
Source: RNAcentral
GUUGUAUAGUCAAGUAAUUAAGUGCAUGUGGUGGAUGCCUUGGCAGUCAGAGGCGAUGAAAGACGUGAUAGCCUGCGAAAAGCUCCGGGGAGGCGGCAAAUAUCCUUUGAUCCGGAGAUGUCUGAAUGGGGGAACCCACCUACUUUAAGGUAGGUAUUGCAACAUGAAUACAUAGUGUUGCAAGGCGAACGAGGGGAAGUGAAACAUCUCAGUACCCUUAGGAAAAGAAAUCAAUUGAGAUUCCCUCAGUAGCGGCGAGCGAACGGGGAUCAGCCCAUUAAGUUAUGUGUGUUUUAGUGGAACGCUCUGGGAAGUGCGAACGUAGAGGGUGAUAUUCCCGUACACGAAAGGGCACACAUAAUGAUGACGAGUAGGGCGAGGCACGUGAAACCUUGUCUGAAUAUGGGGGGACCAUCCUCCAAGGCUAAAUACUCCUGACUGACCGAUAGUGAACCAGUACCGUGAGGGAAAGGCGAAAAGAACCCCUGUGAGGGGAGUGAAAUAGAUCCUGAAACCGCAUGCAUACAAGCAGUGGGAGCACCUUCGUGGUGUGACUGCGUACCUUUUGUAUAAUGGGUCAGCGACUUAUAUUCAGUAGCGAGGUUAACCGUAUAGGGGAGCCGUAGAGAAAUCGAGUCUUAAUAGGGCGUUUAGUUGCUGGGUAUAGACCCGAAACCAGGCGAUCUAUCCAUGAGCAGGUUGAAGGUUGGGUAACACUAACUGGAGGACCGAACCCACUGUCGUUGAAAAGCCAGGGGAUGACUUGUGGAUAGGGGUGAAAGGCUAAUCAAGCCUGGUGAUAGCUGGUUCUCCCCGAAAGCUAUUUAGGUAGCGCCUCGGACGAAUACCAUAGGGGGUAGAGCACUGUUUCGGCUAGGGGGUCAUCCCGACUUACCAAACCGAUGCAAACUCCGAAUACCUAUGAGUACUAUCCGGGAGACAGACUGCGGGUGCUAACGUCCGUAGUCAAGAGGAAAACAAUCCAGACCGCCAGCUAAGGCCCCAAAAUCAUAGUUAAGUGGGAAACGAUGUGGGAAGGCAUAGACAGCUAGGAGGUUGGCUUAGAAGCAGCCACCCUUUAAAGAAAGCGUAAUAGCUCACUAGUCGAGUCGGCCUGCGCGGAAGAUGUAACGGGGCUAAAACUAUGUGCCGAAGCUGCGGAUNNUGCUGGAGGUAUCAGAAGUGCGAAUGCUGACGUGAGUAACGACAAAACGGGUGAAAAACCCGUUCGCCGAAAGACCAAGGGUUCCAGUCCAACGUUAAUCGGGGCUGGGUGAGUCGACCCCUAAGGCGAGGCCGAAAGGCGUAGUCGAUGGGAAAAUGGUUAAUAUUCCAUUACUUCUGUGUAAUGCGAUGAGAGGACGGAGAAGGCUAAAUCAGCCUGGCGUUGGUUGUCCAGGUGAAAGGAUGUAGGCAUGUAUCUUAGGCAAAUCCGGGGUACUCUAUGCUGAGAUCUGAUAGCAAGCUGUACUUGUACAGCGAAGUGGUUGAUGCCAUGCUUCCAGGAAAAGUCUCUAAGCUUCAGUUACACAGGAAUCGUACCCGAAACCGACACAGGUGGUCAGGUCGAGUAGACCAAGGCGCUUGAGAGAACUCUGCUGAAGGAACUAGGCAAAAUGGUACCGUAACUUCGGGAGAAGGUACGCUGUUGUUGGUGAUGGAACUCGCUUCCUGAGCUGACGACAGCCGCAGAAACCAGGCCGCUGCAACUGUUUAUUAAAAACAUAGCACUCUGCAAACACGAAAGUGGACGUAUAGGGUGUGAUGCCUGCCCGGUGCUGGAAGGUUAAUUGAUGGGGUUAGCGUAAGCGAAGCUCUUGAUCGAAGCCCCAGUAAACGGCGGCCGUAACUAUAACGGUCCUAAGGUAGCGAAAUUCCUUGUCGGGUAAGUUCCGACCUGCACGAAUGGCAUAAUGAUGGCGGCGCUGUCUCCAGCAGAGGCUCAGUGAAAUCGAAAUCGCUGUGAAGAUGCAGUGUACCCGCGGCUAGACGGAAAGACCCCGUGAACCUUUACUGCAGCUUGACACUGAACUUUGACCUUACUUGUGUAGGAUAGGUGGGAGGCUUUGAAGCUGGAACGCUAGUUCCAGUGGAGCCGUCCUUGAAAUACCACCCUGGUAAUGUUGAGGUUCUAACUCUGUCCCGUGAUCCGGGACGAGGACCGUGUCUGGUGGGUAGUUUGACUGGGGCGGUCUCCUCCUAAAGAGUAACGGAGGAGUACGAAGGUGCGCUCAGCGUGGUCGGAAAUCACGCGUAGAGUAUAAAGGCAAAAGCGCGCUUAACUGCGAGACCCACAAGUCGAGCAGGUACGAAAGUAGGUCUUAGUGAUCCGGUGGUUCUGUAUGGAAGGGCCAUCGCUCAACGGAUAAAAGGUACUCUGGGGAUAACAGGCUGAUACCGCCCAAGAGUUCAUAUCGACGGCGGUGUUUGGCACCUCGAUGUCGGCUCAUCUCAUCCUGGGGCUGAAGCAGGUCCCAAGGGUAUGGCUGUUCGCCAUUUAAAGAGGUACGCGAGCUGGGUUUAGAACGUCGUGAGACAGUUCGGUCCCUAUCUACCGUGGGCGCUGGAAAUUUGAGAGGAUCUGCUCCUAGUACGAGAGGACCAGAGUGGACGAACCUCUGGUGUACCGGUUGUGACGCCAGUCGCAUCGCCGGGUAGCUAUGUUCGGAAGGGAUAACCGCUGAAAGCAUCUAAGCGGGAAGCCUACCUCAAGAUAAGAUUUCCCUAGGACUUUAUGUCCUCUAAAGAGCCGUUCGAGACUAGGACGUUGAUAGGUUGGAUGUGGAAGCAUAGUGAUAUGUGAAGCUGACCAAUACUAAUUGCUCGUGAGGCUUGACUAUACAACACCCAAGCAGUUG